This 654-nucleotide long non-coding RNA is filed under the name Oryza brachyantha (malo sina). RNAcentral describes it as "long non-coding RNA (OBRA_LNC003481)". The record is from RNAcentral. Lineage: Eukaryota; Viridiplantae; Streptophyta; Magnoliopsida; Poales; Poaceae.
GCAGAUUCACAUGAGGCAAACAUCUGCUGACAGCACACAACCGUAUGCAAGAGCAGGACUCUACCAUUUCAACCUCGGCAGAUGACUGGAGCUACUGCCAUGAUGAGUACACUACAGGAAGCAUUAUGUAGGCCAUUAAUAUUACGAAAAACAAAUGGCGAGUGCACGACUGGCAUGUGAAGCCCAGGAAGAUCUUGCAGUGCAACCAUGCAUGGCGUUAUACAGUCGGUAAGGUUCUCUUAAACAGGAGAAACUACAACACUACAAGAACAUAGUAACACAGGUCCAACCUUCUCGGAAUUCAAAAGCUACGCUAAACACUAGUUAUUCCAAUAGAGUUUGGUACGAUGCCAACGCUUUGUGCAAUAAAUACCCUCUUUUGCGUUCUCAUGAAUCUCAUCUGACAAAGACCAACCUUAUUAAAUGCCACCUUGAACGCCAAAUGCACCCUGCUGCUUCAUAACACUACAACAAUCGCCUGCUACUGUAGAUGAAGACAGUUCAAAUCAUCAGAAUGGAGACUAAGAAAUACAUUUGAAAGUAUCAAAUCUUUGUUAAUCAACAAUUCAACAUGGAUCUACAAGAAUGCUGUAAGGAGGACCAAGCUUCUACGGACGUUUCUGAAUAUAUUCCAUUAUAAAUGCAUUACAUAAC